This 425-nucleotide ribosomal RNA is filed under the name Lembadion sp. FG-2015. Its description in RNAcentral is "eukaryotic LSU rRNA". The stretch from base 76 to 221 matches the Rfam family "5.8S ribosomal RNA". Lineage: Eukaryota; Ciliophora; Oligohymenophorea; Peniculida; Lembadionidae. The record is from RNAcentral.
UGUUCGAUGAUGUGUGGGAACCACACUUAAUAAACUCUUUAAUAACCUAUUUUCCAACAAAAAUUUUUUAAUAAAAAUUUUCAACGAUGGAUAUCUAGGUUCCCAUAACGAUGAAGAACGCAGCGAAGUGCGAUAAGCAAUGCGAAUUGCAGAAUUCCGCGAGUCAUCAGAUCUUUGAACGCAAGUGGCGCUAGUUUACUAGCAUGUUUGUUUCAGUGUGUUUGGAGUAUCAUAAAAUCAAAAUGCAAUUGAAGUUCACGCUUCUUUUGUUUAAUCUGGAGGAUGUAAUUUCGAACAUCCCCCAAACGGAGUAGUCACUUUAUGUGAUCACGUUUGGGAUGUGUAGUUAAACAUCCAAAAAAUUUCAAUUUCCAUCAGCACCUGAAAUCAAGCAAGACUACCCGCUGAACUUAAGCAUAUCAGUA